RNAcentral lists this ribosomal RNA (338 nucleotides) under Escherichia coli. Its description in RNAcentral is "bacterial SSU rRNA". It matches the Rfam family "Bacterial small subunit ribosomal RNA", at positions 1 to 333 of the family's 1533-position model. The record is from RNAcentral. Lineage: Bacteria; Pseudomonadati; Pseudomonadota; Gammaproteobacteria; Enterobacterales; Enterobacteriaceae.
UUAAAUUGAAGAGUUUGAUCAUGGCUCAGAUUGAACGCUGGCGGCAGGCCUAACACAUGCAAGUCGAACGGUAACAGAAAGCAGCUUGCUGCUUUGCUGACGAGUGGCGGACGGGUGAGUAAUGUCUGGGAAACUGCCUGAUGGAGGGGGAUAACUACUGGAAACGGUAGCUAAUACCGCAUAACGUCGCAAGACCAAAGAGGGGGACCUUCGGGCCUCUUGCCAUCGGAUGUGCCCAGAUGGGAUUAGCUUGUUGGUGGGGUAACGGCUCACCAAGGCGACGAUCCCUAGCUGGUCUGAGAGGAUGACCAGCCACACUGGAACUGAGACACGGUCCA